GGCUACCACUUCCAAGGAAGGCAGCAGGCGCGCAAAUUACCCAAUCCCGACACGGGGAGGUAGUGACAAUAAAUAACAAUACGGGGCUCUUUCGGGUCUCGUAAUUGGAAUGAGUACAAUUUAAAUCCCUUAACGAGGAACAAUUGGAGGGCAAGUCUGGUGCCAGCAGCCGCGGUAAUUCCAGCUCCAAUAGCGUAUAUUAAAGUUGUUGCAGUUAAAAAGCUCGUAGUUGAAUUUCGGGAUUGACGUGAUGGUCGUGCCUUAAGGGGUAUGAACUGUCGCAGUUGAUUUCUCACCUUCUGGAGAAGCAUGAUGUCCUUAAUUGGGUGUCAUGUGGAACCAGGACCUUUACCUUGAAAAAAUUAGAGUGUUUAAAGCAGGCAUUUUGCUCGAAUACAUUAGCAUGGAAUAAUAGAAUAGGACGGCAUGGUUCUAUUUUGUUGGUUUCUAGGAUCACCGUAAUGAUUAAUAGGGAUAGUUGGGGGCAUUAGUAUUCAAUUGUCAGAGGUGAAAUUCUUGGAUUUAUUGAAGACUAACUACUGCGAAAGCAUUUGCCAAGGAUGUUUUCAUUAAUCAAGAACGAAAGUUAGGGGAUCGAAGACGAUCAGAUACCGUC
RNAcentral lists this ribosomal RNA (616 nucleotides) under uncultured fungus. RNAcentral describes it as "SSU rRNA". It matches the Rfam family "Eukaryotic small subunit ribosomal RNA", at positions 405 to 1019 of the family's 1831-position model. Lineage: Eukaryota; Fungi. The record is from RNAcentral.